Long non-coding RNA from Octopus sinensis (East Asian common octopus), 543 nucleotides. RefSeq lists it as uncharacterized. Lineage: Eukaryota; Metazoa; Mollusca; Cephalopoda; Octopoda; Octopodidae. The record is from RefSeq and is a predicted model, not a curated record. The transcript has 3 exons.
AUCUACCCUGUAAUCUGUAUGCGAAAAACGGAAUCUAAGGAAGCUGGGGAUUGUUUUUAUCAUGAAAAAUUAUUCAGUAAAGUUCAUGUCAAUUUUACGUGGCUGAAGAAGAGGAAUCAAAAGGUUUUAGGUUCUUUCAUUUGUGAAAGAAACAUUUCUUCUGUUUUAAGGAAUUUUUUUUUCGUUCUGAGUUGAAGGAUGUUCGGGAGACCCCAUAAUCGUCUUCUCCCCACGGGAUACAAACUUAUCCAAAUUUACACCCCCAAAAAAUCAGACUCAUUAUCCCACAGCAUUUUAUAUUUAAUUAAUUUAAAUUCCUUGCUUUCUUGACAAAAGUUUGUAAUUAUACUUGAAUUUCUAAAAAAAUUAUUAAGGGUAUAAUUGUAUUCAAAUUUAAUUAUUAUGCAUAUUAGUGAACACAAUUUGAGCACUUGAAACAAGGGAGGCAACUCCUCAUGACUUAUUGGUACCUUCCUAAAGCAAGAAUUUUAUCCUGAUAGAUUCACUGCAUUAUCGAUAAAAAUGAUAUAAUACAGACACCCA